Molecule: ribosomal RNA, 1282 nt
Filed under: Elateroidea sp. 9 KM-2017
Lineage: Eukaryota; Metazoa; Arthropoda; Insecta; Coleoptera
Description: 16S ribosomal RNA
Rfam family: Archaeal large subunit ribosomal RNA (bases 593-1282)
Source: RNAcentral
ACUUUGAAUUAAUUUAUUUAUUUAGUUUUAUUUGAAUAGAAUUUAUUUUAUUAUUUUAAGAGAAAAAAUUUAUUUAAUUAUAGUUUAUUAGUAAAGAAAUUGAAUAUUGAAAAAUAAUUUUUAAUUUUUAAAGAAUAAUUAAUUUUUAGUACCUUGUGUAUCAGGGUUGAUUAAAUAAAAAUUUAAUAUUAAGUUUUCUCGAAUUAAAAAGAUCUAAUUGGUUAUAAAUUUAAUUGUAGAAUUAAUUUUUUUAAUAAUUAAUUAGUAAUGAAACGUUAAUCGUUUUUUAAUAUAUCUGGUUUCCUAAGAAAUAAAUUUAAUUUAUUUGUUUAUAAUUUUGUAUUUAAUUUUUUAAUUAAAAAAUUUAAGCUUUGAAUAUUUAAGGGGAUGAGCUUUUAAAUAAAUUUUUAAAAAUUUUUUUUUAGUACAUUUUUAAUAGGAUUAAUAUUUUCAAUUUUUUAUAAAAUUUUAUAGUUUUCAAUAUAAGUUUUAGGAUUUGUUAUAAUUUUUAAAUCUUUUAUUAGGAUGUUUUUUGUAAUAUUUUUUAUUUUUUAAUUAUGAUUAAAUUAGUAAAUUUUUAUUUAAAUUUAAUUUAAAAUGUUAGGUUGAUAAAAGGAAUUCGGCAAAUAAGUUUUUCGCCUGUUUAUUAAAAACAUGUCCUUUAGAUUAUAAUUUAAGGUCUAAUCUGCUCAAUGAAGAUUUAAAUAGCCGCGGUAUUUUGACCGUGCGAAGGUAGCAUAAUAAUUAGUUUUUUAAUUGAAAGCUGGAAUGAAUGAUUUUACGAGAAAACUGCUGUCUCUUUAUAAUUAUAGUUGAAUUUAAUUUUUAAGUUAAAAGGCUUAAAUGUUUUUUAAAGACGAGAAGACCCUAUAGAGUUUAAUAGAAAUUUUAUUUAGUUAAAUAAAUGGUAAUAUUUAUUUUUUAUUUAAAUAUUUAUUUGAUUGGGGUGAUUUAAAGAUUAAUAAAACUCUUUAAUUAUUAAUCAUUGAUUAGUGAAUAUUAAAUCUAAAAAUUUUAAAUUUAAAACAAAUUACCUUAGGGAUAACAGCGUAAUUUCUUUUUAGAGUUCUUAUUGAUUGGGAAGUUUGCGACCUCGAUGUUGGAUUAAAAUUAAUUUUUGGUGCAGAAGCUGAAAUAUUAGGUCUGUUCGACCUUUGAAAUUUUACAUGAUCUGAGUUUAAAUCGGCGUGAGCCAGGUUGGUUUCUAUCUUAAAUAAGAUUAAAUAUUUUAGUACGAGAGGACCAGAUAUUUAAUAAAUUAUUUUAAAUUUGAUUAAUAAUA